Molecule: microRNA precursor, 88 nt
Filed under: Canis lupus familiaris (dog)
Lineage: Eukaryota; Metazoa; Chordata; Mammalia; Carnivora; Canidae
Also listed under: 1 other name
Description: mir-8799 microRNA precursor family
Rfam family: mir-8799 microRNA precursor family
Source: Rfam by way of RNAcentral
GGGAGGAAGCCAGACCCUGGGCUGUGUCCCGGUGCCCUGUGCUCCGGGGCCUGCGCUGUUGGAUUCGCUCCCGGCAGCGCAGCCCCCU